AGUUAAUAAGCUUAAUUGAAGCAUAUGUUUUGAAAACAUAAGAUAGAAGUUCAAUUCUUCUAUUAACUU
This 69-nucleotide transfer RNA is filed under the name Deflorita sp. ZJZ-2017. Its description in RNAcentral is "tRNA-Ser". It matches the Rfam family "tRNA". Rfam says of the family: Transfer RNA (tRNA) molecules are approximately 80 nucleotides in length. Their secondary structure includes four short double-helical elements and three loops (D, anti-codon, and T loops). The record is from RNAcentral. Lineage: Eukaryota; Metazoa; Arthropoda; Insecta; Orthoptera; Tettigoniidae.